CCUACGGGAGGCAGCAGUGGGGAAUAUUGGACAAUGGGCGAAAGCCUGAUCCAGCAAUGCCGCGUGAGUGAUGAAGGCCUUAGGGUUGUAAAGCUCUUUUACCAGGGAUGAUAAUGACAGUACCUGGAGAAUAAGCUCCGGCUAACUCCGUGCCAGCAGCCGCGGUAAUACGGAGGGAGCUAGCGUUGUUCGGAAUUACUGGGCGUAAAGAGUACGUAGGCGGUUAUUCAAGUCAGAGGUGAAAGCCCGGGGCUCAACCCCGGAACUGCCUUUGAAACUAGAUAGCUAGAGUCUUGGAGAGGUUAGUGGAAUUCCGAGUGUAGAGGUGAAAUUCGUAGAUAUUCGGAAGAACACCAGUGGCGAAGGCGACUAACUGGACAAGUACAGACGCUGAGGUACGAAAGCGUGGGGAGCAAACAGGAUUAGAUACCCUGGUAGUCCACGCCGUAAACGAUGAUAACUAGUUGUUCGGGCACUUGGUGCCUGAGUGACGCAGCUAACGCAUUAAGUUAUCCGCCUGGGGAGUACGGUCGCAAGAUUAAAACUCAAAGGAAUUGACGG
This 561-nucleotide ribosomal RNA is filed under the name uncultured bacterium. Its description in RNAcentral is "bacterial SSU rRNA". It matches the Rfam family "Bacterial small subunit ribosomal RNA", at positions 338 to 916 of the family's 1533-position model. The record is from RNAcentral.